GUGCCAGCAGCCGCGGUAAUACGUAGGGUGCGAGCGUUGUCCGGAAUUACUGGGCGUAAAGAGCUCGUAGGUGGUUUGUCGCGUUGUUCGUGAAAUCUCACGGCUUAACUGUGAGCGUGCGGGCGAUACGGGCAGACUAGAGUACUGCAGGGGAGACUGGAAUUCCUGGUGUAGCGGUGGAAUGCGCAGAUAUCAGGAGGAACACCGGUGGCGAAGGCGGGUCUCUGGGCAGUAACUGACGCUGAGGAGCGAAAGCGUGGGGAGCGAACAGGAUUAGAUACCCUGGUAGUCCACGCCGUAAACGGUGGGUACUAGGUGUGGGUUUCCUUCCUUGGGAUCCGUGCCGUAGCUAACGCAUUAAGUACCCCGCCUGGGGAGUACGGCCGCAAGGCUAAAACUCAAAGGAAUUGACGGGGGCCCGCACAAGCGGCGGAGCAUGUGGAUUAAUUCGAUGCAACGCGAAGAACCUUACCUGGGUUUGACAUGCACAGGACGCGUCUAGAGAUAGGCGUUCCCUUGUGGCCUGUGUGCAGGUGGUGCAUGGCUGUCGUCAGCUCGUGUCGUGAGAUGUUGGGUUAAGUCCCGCAACGAGCGCAACCCUUGUCUCAUGUUGCCAGCGGGUAAUGCCGGGGACUCGUGAGAGACUGCCGGGGUCAACUCGGAGGAAGGUGGGGAUGACGUCAAGUCAUCAUGCCCCUUAUGUCCAGGGCUUCACACAUGCUACAAUGGCCGGUACAAAGGGCUGCGAUGCCGUAAGGUUAAGCGAAUCCUUUUAAAGCCGGUCUCAGUUCGGAUUGGGGUCUGCAACUCGACCCCAUGAAGUCGGAGUCGCUAGUAAUCGCAGAUCAGCAACGCUGCGGUGAAUACGUUCCCGGGCCUUGUACUCACCGCCCGUC
RNAcentral lists this ribosomal RNA (896 nucleotides) under uncultured organism. Its description in RNAcentral is "SSU rRNA". It matches the Rfam family "Bacterial small subunit ribosomal RNA", at positions 505 to 1398 of the family's 1533-position model. The record is from RNAcentral.